AAAAGAAACUAACAAGGAUUCCCCUAGUAGCGGCGAGCGAAGCGGGAAGAGCUCAAAUUUAUAAUCUGGCACCUUCGGUGUCCGAGUUGUAAUCUCUAGAAGUGUUUUCCGCGUUGGACCGCACACAAGUCUGUUGGAAUACAGCGGCAUAGUGGUGAGACCCCCGUAUAUGGUGCGGACGCCCAACGCUUUGUGAUACACUUUCGAAGAGUCGAGUUGUUUGGGAAUGCAGCUCAAAUUGGGUGGUAAAUUCCAUCUAAAGCUAAAUAUUGGCGAGAGACCGAUAGCGAACAAGUACCGUGAGGGAAAGAUGAAAAGCACUUUGGAAAGAGAGUUAACAGUACGUGAAAUUGUUGGAAGGGAAACGCUUGAAGUCAGACUUGCUUGCCGAGCAAUCGGUUUGCAGGCCAGCAUCAGUUUUCCGGGGUGGAUAAUGGUAGAGAGAAGGUAGCAGUUUCGGCUGUGUUAUAGCUCUUUGCUGGAUACACCUUGGGGGACUGAGGAACGCAGUGUGCCUUACGGCGGAUUUCUCGAGAUCUUCACACUUAGGAUGCUGGUGGAAUGGCUUUAAACGACCCG
This 579-nucleotide ribosomal RNA is filed under the name Rhodotorula taiwanensis. RNAcentral's name for it is "eukaryotic LSU rRNA". It matches the Rfam family "Eukaryotic large subunit ribosomal RNA", at positions 57 to 651 of the family's 3401-position model. The record is from RNAcentral. Lineage: Eukaryota; Fungi; Basidiomycota; Microbotryomycetes; Sporidiobolales; Sporidiobolaceae.